Molecule: ribosomal RNA, 468 nt
Filed under: uncultured bacterium
Lineage: Bacteria
Description: partial 16S ribosomal RNA
Rfam family: Bacterial small subunit ribosomal RNA
Source: RNAcentral
GACGAACGCUGGCGGCGUGCUUAACACAUGCAAGUCGAACGGACAGGCCCUGCUUUUGUUGGGUUCUCGAUUGGCGAACGGGUGAGUAACCCGUGAGUAACCUGCCCUUGUCUUUGUGAUAACUUCAGGAAACUUGGGCUAAUACCGGAUAGGAGCUCCUGCUGCAUUGUGUGGGUUGGUAAGUUUCGGCGGUUGGGGAUGGACUCGCGGCUUAUCAGCUUGUUGGUGGGGUAGUGGCUUACAAAGGCUUUGACGGGUAGCCGGCAUGCGCGGGUGACCGGCGACAUUGGGACUGAGAGACGGACCAGAAUCGUACGGGAGGCAGCAGUGGGGAAUAGUGCAAAAUGGGCGGAAGCCUGAUGAAGCAACGCCGGGUGCGGGAUGACGGCCUUCGGGUUGUAAACCGAUUUAGCAUGUGACGAAGAGUGAGUGACGGUAAUGGGUAAAGAAGCACCGGCUAACUACGUG